UGUGAGAGAUAAUGUUGAUACCAGCUCAAGACAAGGUUGAUGUAGGGGAAGCCAUAUUGUGGAAAAGAAACCCUAUUGUAACUUUGAAUGACCUCUGACUAACUAACCCAGCUGGAUAUGAACCCUC
Molecule: non-coding RNA, 127 nt
Organism: Ceratotherium simum simum (southern white rhinoceros)
Lineage: Eukaryota; Metazoa; Chordata; Mammalia; Perissodactyla; Rhinocerotidae
Source: RefSeq, a predicted model, not a curated record